UGAUGCAGCCAUGCCGCGUGUGUGAAGAAGGCCUUCGGGUUGUAAAGCACUUUCAGUAGGGAGGAAGGUGGUAGUGUUAAUAGCGCUAUCAUUUGACGUUACCUACAGAAGAAGCACCGGCUAACUCCGUGCCAGCAGCCGCGGUAAUACGGAGGGUGCGAGCGUUAAUCGGAAUUACUGGGCGUAAAGCGCAUGCAGGUGGUUUGUUAAGUCAGAUGUGAAAGCCCCGGGCUCAACCUGGGAAUUGCAUUUGAAACUGGCAAACUAGAGUACUGUAGAGGGGGGUAGAAUUUCAGGUGUAGCGGUGAAAUGCGUAGAGAUCUGAAGGAAUACCGGUGGCGAAGGCGGCCCCCUGGACAGAUACUGACACUCAGAUGCGAAAGCGUGGGGAGCAAACAGGAUUAGAUACCCUGGUAGUCCACGCCGUAAACGAUGUCUACUUGGAGGUUGUGGCCUUGAGCCGUGGCUUUCGGAGCUAACGCGUUAAGUAGACCGCCUGGGGAGUACGGUCGCAAGAUUAAAACUCAAAUGAAUUGACGGGGGCCCGCACAAGCGGUGGAGCAUGUGGUUUAAUUCGAUGCAACGCGAAGAACCUUACCUACUCUUGACAUCCAGAGAAGCCAGCGGAGACGCAGGUGUGCCUUCGGGAGCUCUGAGACAGG
Molecule: ribosomal RNA, 662 nt
Filed under: Vibrio navarrensis
Lineage: Bacteria; Pseudomonadati; Pseudomonadota; Gammaproteobacteria; Vibrionales; Vibrionaceae
Description: bacterial SSU rRNA
Rfam family: Bacterial small subunit ribosomal RNA
Source: RNAcentral